UUUGAAACCAGCCUGGGGGCUGCAAGUGGUCCCCGGGCCAGACUUUGGACAAGCCUGACUUUAGGAACAACCUCAACCUAUUCUCAAGCUUUAAAUGGGUAAGAAGCCCAUGGGAAUGGGAUGCAAGCUGCCUAGUGGGUCAGUUUUGGUAAGCAGAUGUCACGCUGCAGGGUGAAGCCGAUGCCGGGUAAAGGUGUCUGAUUUUGAUGCUCAUCAGUCCCCAGAAAAGGUGUCAGUUUAUGUAGACAGAGGGGAUGACGGCCAUGGAAUCUGGAAUCCUCUAAGGAAUGUGUAACAGCUCACCAGUUGAAUGAACUAGCCCUGAAAAUGGAUGCCAUUGGAGUGCUGAGCCCAUACCUGGCCAUUGCUUGCAAUGCCGGCCACUAGAGCUAUGCUGCAAUGUGCAGGA
Non-coding RNA from Podarcis lilfordi (Lilford's wall lizard), 409 nucleotides. Lineage: Eukaryota; Metazoa; Chordata; Lepidosauria; Squamata; Lacertidae. The record is from the annotation of a GenBank genome assembly.